RNAcentral lists this non-coding RNA (122 nucleotides) under Rubrobacter xylanophilus. RNAcentral describes it as "SAM-I sequence". It matches the Rfam family "SAM riboswitch aptamer (S box leader)". From Rfam's summary of the family: The SAM riboswitch is found upstream of a number of genes which code for proteins involved in methionine or cysteine biosynthesis in Gram-positive bacteria. The SAM riboswitch acts at the level of transcription termination control. Lineage: Bacteria; Bacillati; Actinomycetota; Rubrobacteria; Rubrobacterales; Rubrobacteraceae. The record is from RNAcentral. RNAcentral also lists the same sequence under 1 other name.
CCCGCAUCAAGAGCGGUGGAGGGAACUGGCCCAGCGAAGCCGCGGCAACCGGCGGGGGGCCCUUACCCCCGUGAGGUGCCAAUUCCAGCAGGUCUCCCCGAGGGGGGCCUGAAAGAUGUGGG